CACGUAGGGUGCGAGCGUUGUCCGGAAUUAUUGGGCGUAAAGAGCUCGUAGGCGGUGUGUCGCGUCGGCCGUGAAAACCUGGGGCUUAACUCUGGGCGUGCGGUCGAUACGGGCAUCACUGGAGUUCGGCAGGGGAGACUGGAAUUCCUGGUGUAGCGGUGAAAUGCGCAGAUAUCAGGAGGAACACCGGUGGCGAAGGCGGGUCUCUGGGCCGUAACUGACGCUGAGGAGCGAAAGCAUGGGGAGCGAACAGG
This 254-nucleotide ribosomal RNA is filed under the name uncultured bacterium. RNAcentral describes it as "partial 16S ribosomal RNA". It matches the Rfam family "Bacterial small subunit ribosomal RNA", at positions 524 to 776 of the family's 1533-position model. The record is from RNAcentral.